Molecule: ribosomal RNA, 426 nt
Filed under: uncultured bacterium
Lineage: Bacteria
Description: bacterial SSU rRNA
Rfam family: Bacterial small subunit ribosomal RNA
Source: RNAcentral
UCGAGAAUCUUCGGCAAUGGGGGAAACCCUGACCGAGCGACGCCGCGUGCGAGAUGAAGGCCUUCGGGUUGUAAAUCGCUGUCAGAGGGGAGGAAAUGCCGGUGGGUUCUCCCACCGGUUUGACCUAUCCUCAGAGGAAGGACGGGCUAAGUUCGUGCCAGCAGCCGCGGUAAGACGAACCGUCCAAACGUUAUUCGGAAUCACUGGGCUUAAAGGGUGCGUAGGCGGUCCGGCAAGUUGGGUGUGAAAGCCCUCGGCUCAACCGAGGAACUGCGCCCAAAACUGCCGGGCUUGAGGGAGACAUAGGUGAGCGGAACUUAGGGUGGAGCGGUGAAAUGCGUUGAGAUCCUAAGGAACACCAGUAGCGAAAGCGGCUCACUGGGUCUCUUCUGACGCUGAGUGCACGAAAGCCAGGGGAGCGAAGAG